GGGGGCAUAGUUAAGUGGGAUAACAGGGCCCUCGCACGGCCCAGUCCGCGGUUCGAGUCCGCGUGCCUCCA
Molecule: transfer RNA, 71 nt
Filed under: Armatimonadota bacterium
Lineage: Bacteria; Bacillati; Armatimonadota
Also listed under: 1 other name
Description: Armatimonadetes bacterium (marine sediment metagenome) tRNA-Ala
Rfam family: tRNA
About the family: Transfer RNA (tRNA) molecules are approximately 80 nucleotides in length. Their secondary structure includes four short double-helical elements and three loops (D, anti-codon, and T loops).
Source: RNAcentral